Molecule: ribosomal RNA, 478 nt
Filed under: uncultured anaerobic ammonium-oxidizing bacterium
Lineage: Bacteria
Description: bacterial SSU rRNA
Rfam family: Bacterial small subunit ribosomal RNA
Source: RNAcentral
UUCGCAAUGCCCGAAAGGGUGACGAAGCGACGCCGCGUGCGGGAAGAAGGCCUUCGGGUUGUAAACCGCUGUCGGGAGUUAGGAAAUGCAAGGAUGUUAAUAGCAUUCUUGCUUGACUAAGGCUCCGGAGGAAGCCACGGCUAACUCUGUGCCAGCAGCCGCGGUAAUACAGAGGCGGCAAGCGUUGUUCGGAAUUAUUGGGCGUAAAGAGCACGUAGGCGGCCUUGCAAGUCAGUUGUGAAAGCCUUCCGCUUAACGGAAGAACGGCAUCUGAUACUACAGGGCUUGAGUACGGGAGGGGAGAGUGGAACUUCUGGUGGAGCGGUGAAAUGCGUAGAUAUCAGAAGGAACGCCGGCGGCGAAAGCGACUCUCUGGUCCGAAACUGACGCUGAGUGUGCGAAAGCUAGGGGAGCAAACGGGAUUAGAUACCCCGGUAGUCCUAGCCGUAAACGAUGGGCACUAAGUAGAGGGGUUUUA